RNAcentral lists this ribosomal RNA (473 nucleotides) under Legionella pneumophila. RNAcentral describes it as "partial 23S ribosomal RNA". It matches the Rfam family "Bacterial large subunit ribosomal RNA", at positions 430 to 905 of the family's 2925-position model. Lineage: Bacteria; Pseudomonadati; Pseudomonadota; Gammaproteobacteria; Legionellales; Legionellaceae. The record is from RNAcentral.
AAUCCUGGUUGAAGAUGGGUGGACCAUCAUCCAAGGCUAAAUACUACUUACUGACCGAUAGUGAACCAGUACCGUGAGGGAAAGGUGAAAAGAACCCCGGAGAGGGGAGUGAAAUAGAAUCUGAAACCGUUUGCGUACAAGCAGUGGGAGCAUGGUUUAGGCUGUGUGACUGCGUACCUUUUGUAUAAUGGGUCAGCGAGUUACUUUCAGUGGCGAGGUUAACUGAAUAAGGGAGCCGUAGAGAAAUCGAGUCUGAAUAGGGCGAUAGUCGCUGGGAGUAGACCCGAAACCGGGCGAUCUAGCCAUGUGCAGGAUGAAGGUUGGGUAACACCAACUGGAGGUCCGAACCGGGUAAUGUUGAAAAAUUAUCGGAUGACGUGUGGCUAGGAGUGAAAGGCUAAUCAAGCCCGGAGAUAGCUGGUUCUCCCCGAAAGCUAUUUAGGUAGCGCCUCGUGAAUGAUUACUGGGGGUAG